GCGGGAAUGUGUGAGGCGGGGGGCGCACGGUACCUGUGACAGCUGUCCCCGCCCCUGCCGCAUGUUCGUCAUGUCACAGCACUGGAUGCAAACACAGAGACUUGUUUGCAAGCUCAUCUCUCCACGCAGAAGUGCGCAAAUGCAAAGAUUUAAAUUAUUAGAAGUACUUUGGCUUUGUAAGGAGUUCUUCACAAAUCACUUGCUUGGUUUGCCAUCCCUUCAGAAGAGAAUUGGUUGCAACUCUUCCAGCCUUGCUGUUGCACAAGUCUCAGUUAAGUGGAUUGUCAAGUUGGCUUGAAAAAAAAACAAACA
RNAcentral lists this long non-coding RNA (312 nucleotides) under Aquila chrysaetos chrysaetos. RNAcentral's name for it is "lncRNA (ENSACCG00020007159.1)". The record is from RNAcentral. Lineage: Eukaryota; Metazoa; Chordata; Aves; Accipitriformes; Accipitridae.